Molecule: ribosomal RNA, 822 nt
Filed under: uncultured archaeon
Lineage: Archaea
Description: bacterial SSU rRNA
Rfam family: Archaeal small subunit ribosomal RNA
Source: RNAcentral
UCACUAUUAUUGGGUCUAAAGGGUCCGUAGCCGGUUUAAUCAGUCUUCUGGGAAAUCUAAUCGCUUAACUAUUAGGCUUCCAGGGGAUACUGUUUAGACUUGGGACCGGGAGAGGUAAGAGGUACUGCAGGGGUAGGAGUGAAAUCUUGUAAUCCCUGUGAGACCACCAGUGGCGAAGGCGUCUUACCAGAACGGGUCCGACGGUGAGGGACGAAAGCUGGGGGCACGAACCGGAUUAGAUACCCGGGUAGUCCCAGCUGUAAACGAUGCUCGUUAGGUGUCAGGAACGGUGCGACUGUUUCUGGUGCCGAAGGGAAGCCGUGAAACGAGCCACCUGGGAAGUACGGCCGCAAGGCUGAAACUUAAAGGAAUUGGCGGGGGAGCACUACAACGGGUGGAGCCUGCGGUUUAAUUGGACUCAACGCCGGAAAACUCACCGGGGGCGACAGCAAUAUGUAGGUCAGGUUAAAGGUCUUACCUGAAUCGCUGAGAGGAGGUGCAUGGCCGUCGUCAGUUCGUACUGUGAAGCAUCCUGUUAAGUCAGGCAACGAGCAAGACCCGUGCCCACUGUUACCAGCAUAUCCUUUAUGGAUGAUGGGGACUCUGUGGGGACCGCUGCUGCUAAAGCAGAGGAAGGUGCGGGCUACGGUAGGUCAGUAUGCCCCGAAUCUCCCGGGCUACACGCGGGCUACAAUGGUUGGGACAAUGGGUAUCUACUCCGAAAGGAGUUGGCAAUCUCUUAAACCCAAUCGUAGUUCGAAUUGAGGGCUGUACUCGCCCUCAUGAAGCUGGAAUCCGUAGUAAUCGCGUUUCAACAUAGCG